Molecule: ribosomal RNA, 575 nt
Filed under: uncultured bacterium
Lineage: Bacteria
Description: bacterial SSU rRNA
Rfam family: Bacterial small subunit ribosomal RNA
Source: RNAcentral
CGGUGGAGCAUGUGGUUAAUUCGAAGCAACGCGCAGAACCUUACCAGCUUUUGACAUAUCCGGUUUGAUCGGCAGAGAUGCCUUUCUUCAGUUCGGCUGGCCGGAACACAGGUGCUGCAUGGCUGUCGUCAGCUCGUGUCGUGAGAUGUUGGGUUAAGUCCCGCAACGAGCGCAAUCCCUCGCCCCUAGUUGCCAUCAUUCAGUUGGGAACUCUAGGGGGACUGCCGGUGAUAAGCCGCGAGGAAGGUGGGGAUGACGUCAAGUCCUCAUGGCCCUUACAGGCUGGGCUACACACGUGCUACAAUGGCGGUGACAAUGGGCAGCGAAGGAGCGAUCCGGUGCUAAUCCCAAAAAGCCGUCUCAGUACAGAUUUGCACUCUGCAACUCGAGUGCAUGAAGGUGGAAUCGCUAGUAAUCGUGGAUCAGCAUGCCACGGUGAAUACGUUCCCGGGCCUUGUACACACCGCCCGUCACACCAUGGGAGUUGGGUUUACCCGAAGGCGUCGCGCUAACCGCAAGGAGGCAGGCGACCACGGUAGGCUCAGCGACUGGGGUGAAGUCGUAACAAGGUAACC